This 364-nucleotide ribosomal RNA is filed under the name Vibrio sp. BTPT3. RNAcentral's name for it is "bacterial SSU rRNA". It matches the Rfam family "Bacterial small subunit ribosomal RNA", at positions 57 to 409 of the family's 1533-position model. The record is from RNAcentral. Lineage: Bacteria; Pseudomonadati; Pseudomonadota; Gammaproteobacteria; Vibrionales; Vibrionaceae.
GCAGUCGAGCGGAACGAGUUAUCUGAACCUUCGGGGAACGAUAACGGCGUCGAGCGGCGGACGGGUGAGUAAUGCCUAGGAAAUUGCCCUGAUGUGGGGGAUAACCAUUGGAAACGAUGGCUAAUACCGCAUGAUGCCUACGGGCCAAAGAGGGGGACCUUCGGGCCUCUCGCGUCAGGAUAUGCCUAGGUGGGAUUAGCUAGUUGGUGAGGUAAGGGCUCACCAAGGCGACGAUCCCUAGCUGGUCUGAGAGGAUGAUCAGCCACACUGGAACUGAGACACGGUCCAGACUCCUACGGGAGGCAGCAGUGGGGAAUAUUGCACAAUGGGCGCAAGCCUGAUGCAGCCAUGCCGCGUGUAUGAA